CCGCAGCUGCGGUAAUUCCAGCUCCAAUAGCGUACAUUAAAGUUGUUGCAGUUAAAAAGCUCGUAGUUGGAUUUCUGGGAGGGUGCCAAUGUCCGCCGACGUGCGUGUGCAGCGGCGCCCUUCCAUCCUUCUGUUAACGCCUCUUGGCAUUCAUUUGCUGGUGGCGGGCUCAGAUAUUUUACCUUGAGAAAAUUAGAGUGUUUCAGGCAGGCUAGGCCGGAAUACAUUAGCAUGGAAUAAUAGAAUAGGACUACGGUCUCUUUGUUGGUUUGAGGGACUGCAGUAAUGAUUAAUAGGGAUAGUUGGGGGCAUUAGUACUUAACUGUCAGAGGUGGAAUUCUCGGAUUUGUUAAAGACUAACUUAUGCGAAAGCAUCUGCCAAGGAUGUUUUCAUUAAUCAAGAACGAAAGU
RNAcentral lists this ribosomal RNA (411 nucleotides) under uncultured eukaryote. RNAcentral's name for it is "SSU rRNA". It matches the Rfam family "Eukaryotic small subunit ribosomal RNA", at positions 568 to 990 of the family's 1831-position model. The record is from RNAcentral.